This 506-nucleotide ribosomal RNA is filed under the name uncultured bacterium. RNAcentral describes it as "partial 16S ribosomal RNA". It matches the Rfam family "Bacterial small subunit ribosomal RNA", at positions 28 to 507 of the family's 1533-position model. The record is from RNAcentral.
GACGAACGCUGGCGGCGUGCUUAACACAUGCAAGUCGAACGGUAAAGGGACUGGUUUUGCUGGUCCUCGAUGAGUGGCGAACGGGUUAGUAACACGUUAGUAACCUGCCCCCUUCUUGUGGAUAACCGCAUGAAAGGGUGGCUAAUACGGGAUAUCCUGGGUCUGUCGCAUGGGGGGCCUGGGAAAGAUCGCGCCUUUUUUGGUGCGCUGCUUGGGGGAUGGUCUCGCGGGUUGUGAGCUUGUUGGUGGGGGGAGGGCCUCCCGAGGCGGUGACGGGUAGCCGGCCUGAGAGGGUGCACGGUCACACGGGGACUGAGACCCGGCCCAGACUCCUGCGAGGGGCCGCAGUGGGACAUAUUGCACAAUGGGCGAAAGCCUGAUGCAGCGACGCCGCGUGAGGGAUGGACGCCUUGGGGUUGUUGACCUCUUUCGGGAGUGAAACAGGGCUGCCUCUUUAUGUGGGUGGAUUGACGGUAGCUGGAUAAGAAGCACCGGCUAACUACGUG